UUAAGACCUUUGUGUAUGUCUAAUGUUGCCUUUUCUUUUUUUCUAGCAGGGCGCGACGCAGAUUGAGGAAUUCCAGGUAUGUUUUCUGUUAAGACCUUUGUGUAUGUCUAAUUUCGCCUUUUCUUUUUUUCUAGCAGGGCGUGACGCAGAUUGAGGAUUUUCAGGUAUGUUUUCUGUUAAGACCUUUGUGUAUGUCUAAUGUUGCCUUUUCUUUUUUUCUAGCAGGGCGCGACACAGAUUGAGGAUUUAGGUAUGUUUUCUGUUAAGACCUUUGUGUAUGUCUAAUGGUUCCUUUUUUUUUCCUUUAGGUCGUGUGGACUUUUUUUUUUGCAGGGCGCGACGCAGAUUGAGGAUUUUCAGGUAUGUUUUCUGUUAAGACCUUUGUGUAUGUCUAAUGUUGUCCUUUUCUUUUUUUCUAGCAGGGCGCGACGCAGAUUGAGGAUUCCAGGUAUGUUUUCUGUUAAGGCCUUUGAGUAUGUCUAAUGUCACCUUUUCUUUUUUUUUCCAGCAGGACGCGACGCAGAUUGAAGAUUCGAAGGUAUGUUUUCUGUUAAGACCUUUGUGUAUGUCUAAUGUUGCCUUUUCUUUUUUUCUAGCAGGGCGCGACGCAGAUUGAGGAUUUUCAGGUAUGUUUUCUGUUAAGACCUUUGUGUAUGUCUAAUGUUGCCUUUUCUUUUUUUCUAGCAGGGCGCGACGCAGAUUGAGGAAUUCCAGGUAUGUUUUCUGUUAAGACCUUUGUGUAUGUCUAAUGUCGCCUUUUCUUUUUUUCUAGCAGGUCGCGACGCAGAUUGAGGAAUUCCAGGUAUGUUUUCUGUUAAGACCUUUGUGUAUGUCUAAUGUCGCCUUUUCUUUUUUUCUAGCAGGUCUUGACGCAGAUUGCCUUUAGGUCGU
This 891-nucleotide long non-coding RNA is filed under the name Mytilus galloprovincialis (Mediterranean mussel). The record is from RNAcentral. Lineage: Eukaryota; Metazoa; Mollusca; Bivalvia; Mytilida; Mytilidae.